Molecule: ribosomal RNA, 468 nt
Filed under: uncultured bacterium
Lineage: Bacteria
Description: partial 16S ribosomal RNA
Rfam family: Bacterial small subunit ribosomal RNA
Source: RNAcentral
GACGAACGCUGGCGGCGUGCUUAACACAUGCAAGUCGAACGGAAAGGCCCUGCUUUUGUGGGGUGCUCGAGUGGCGAACGGGUGAGUAACACGUGAGUAACCUGCCCUUGACUUUGGGAUAACUUCAGGAAACUGGGGCUAAUACCGGAUAGGAGCUCCUGCUGCAUGGUGGGGGUUGGAAAGUUUCGGCGGUUGGGGAUGGACUCGCGGCUUAUCAGCUUGUUGGUGGGGUAGUGGCUUACCAAGGCUUUGACGGGUAGCCGGCCUGAGAGGGUGACCGGGCACAUUGGUACUGAGAUACGGCCCAGACUCCUACGGGAGGCAGCAGUGGGGAAUAUUGCACAAUGGGCGGAAGCCUGAUGCAGCAACGCCGCGUGCGGGAUGACGGCCUUCGGGUUGUAAACCGCUUUCGCCUGUGACGAAGCGUGAGUGACGGUAAUGGGUAAAGAAGCACCGGCUAACUACGUG